This 333-nucleotide long non-coding RNA is filed under the name Nicotiana benthamiana. RNAcentral describes it as "long non-coding RNA (NBEN_LNC013093)". The record is from RNAcentral. Lineage: Eukaryota; Viridiplantae; Streptophyta; Magnoliopsida; Solanales; Solanaceae.
GAGCGCCAGAACCGAUGAUAGUCCCUCUGCUUAAUUAGCUAUUGUCUCCCCUGGGGGUUCGGUUCGUCAACAAAGGUAUAGUAGUCUGGGCCCUUUCUUUCCUAUUUUCUGGACAGGGCCUAAAGGAGCAAAAGCCAGUGCAUGGUAGCGCCUCCAGAGUUGGAGGUCAGUGCGAACCUUGCUAAGGCCAGGUCCGAAGGAAGCGAGGACUAUGAUUUAGCUGUUAAAUAAAGUUCCUUUCCAAAGCUAGCCAGGAGGGAAUCCAUAAUCUAAAUUGUCAAGUAGUGGUGCUGCUGAGUUUGCCAAAAGAUUUAGAGUUAAGAAUAUAACUGU